UAGUGAUAGCUGGUUGUUCAGGAAAAGAGUUUAAGCUCUACCUUAAGUUUUACCGUUACCCCAAACACAACCUUAAACUUAAGAGCUAUUCAAAUAAGGCACAGCUUAUUUGAAGCAGGGUACAACCUCAGACACCGGGUAAAUAUGGGUGCACCAAGUAAAGUGGGCCUAAAAGCAGCCACCUUCUAAAAAGCGUUAAAGCUUAACCACACUUCCCUUAAUUCCUUAAAUUUUUUUAACCCUUAAUCACUACUGAACUGUUUUAUAUUAAUAUAAAAGUCAUUAUGCUAGAACUAGUAAUAAGAAAUCGCCUUUCUCCUAAAUGCAAGCAUAAACCAAAAUGGACCUACCAUUGGUAGUUAACGUAAAUGUCUCUAUUAUAGCAACACUAACUAGAAAACCCUAUAAUACUAACGUUAGCCUAACACCAGCGCAUUUCAGGAAAGAUUAAAAGAGAAAGAAGGAACUCGGCAAACCUUAGCCCCGCCUGUUUACCAAAAACAUCGCCUCUUGAUUAAACAUAAGAGGUCCAGCCUGCCCAGUGACAUAGUUUAACGGCCGCGGUACCCUAACCGUGCGAAGGUAGCAUAAUGACUUGUUCUUUAAAUAGGGACUCGUAUCAACGGCAUCACGAGGGCUAUACUUCUCCUUUCUCCAAUCAAUGAAACUGAUCUCCCCGUGAAGAAGCGGGGAUUAACCUAUAAGACGAGAAGACCCCAUGGAGCUUCAAACUCAACAUAUACCUCCGCACUUAACCACUUUACCCAAGAGACCUCUAUGUUAGUUUUGGGUUGGGGGGACCGCGGAGUAAAAAUUAACCUCCACGACAAAUGGGCUUUUGCCCUUAUCCACGAACCACAGCUCUAAGAAUCAAUAAACUGAUGUUUAUGACCCGAUUAUUCGAUCAACGAACCAAGUUACCCUGGGGAUAACAGCGCAAUCUACUUCAAGAGCCCUAUCGACAAGUAGGUUUACGACCUCGAUGUUGGAUCAGGGUAUCCUAGUGGUGCAGCCGCUACUAAUGGUUCGUUUGUUCAACGAUUAAAACCCU
Molecule: ribosomal RNA, 1051 nt
Filed under: Pelophylax nigromaculatus (dark-spotted frog)
Lineage: Eukaryota; Metazoa; Chordata; Amphibia; Anura; Ranidae
Description: partial 16S ribosomal RNA
Rfam family: Bacterial large subunit ribosomal RNA
Source: RNAcentral